RNAcentral lists this ribosomal RNA (403 nucleotides) under Ehrlichia canis. Its description in RNAcentral is "bacterial SSU rRNA". It matches the Rfam family "Bacterial small subunit ribosomal RNA", at positions 69 to 502 of the family's 1533-position model. Lineage: Bacteria; Pseudomonadati; Pseudomonadota; Alphaproteobacteria; Rickettsiales; Anaplasmataceae. The record is from RNAcentral.
AUUUAUAGCCUCUGGCUAUAGGAAAUUGUUAGUGGCAGACGGGUGAGUAAUGCGUAGGAAUCUACCUAGUAGUACGGAAUAGCCAUUAGAAAUGGUGGGUAAUACUGUAUAAUCCCCGAGGGGGAAAGAUUUAUCGCUAUUAGAUGAGCCUACGUUAGAUUAGCUAGUUGGUGAGGUAAUGGCUUACCAAGGCUAUGAUCUAUAGCUGGUCUGAGAGGACGAUCAGCCACACUGGAACUGAGAUACGGUCCAGACUCCUACGGGAGGCAGCAGUGGGGAAUAUUGGACAAUGGGCGAAAGCCUGAUCCAGCUAUGCCGCGUGAGUGAAGAAGGCCUUCGGGUUGUAAAACUCUUUCAAUAGGGAAGAUAAUGACGGUACCUAUAGAAGAAGUCCCGGCAAACG